This 420-nucleotide unclassified non-coding RNA is filed under the name Spizellomyces sp. Its description in RNAcentral is "partial internal transcribed spacer region". The stretch from base 1 to 62 matches the Rfam family "Eukaryotic small subunit ribosomal RNA", at positions 1770 to 1831 of the family's 1831-position model. Lineage: Eukaryota; Fungi; Chytridiomycota; Chytridiomycetes; Spizellomycetales; Spizellomycetaceae. The record is from RNAcentral.
CUUUUAGAGGAAGUAAAAGUCGUAACAAGGUAACCGUAGGUGAACCUGCGGUUGGAUCAUUAAAAAGUUUACUCACCAGUGGCCAUAUACUGGCUCUGGCUUGAGGGCAACGAUCUUUUUGUGCAAUCAUUAUUAAAGUUGUCUGGGUCAUGAUCGAUUGAAAUAUAUUGAAAGGAUUGCUCUUUCAGACAAUUUUUUCUAAUGAUUGUACACAAAUAGAUUGAACAUUUUGUGAACUGUUUUGUCUCUGGCGGCCGGGUGGAGACAGACUUUUGCCAAAAGUCUGGUUUCAUCUGUCAGCUUGGGAAACCAAGCCGUGGACAAACCGCCAACUUAUUUUAACCCAACAUUAGAUUUUUUGUCUGACAUUACUUUGUAUAAAUAUACAAACAACUUUUGGCAACGGAUCUCUUGGCUCUC